This 466-nucleotide ribosomal RNA is filed under the name uncultured bacterium. Its description in RNAcentral is "partial 16S ribosomal RNA". It matches the Rfam family "Bacterial small subunit ribosomal RNA", at positions 355 to 814 of the family's 1533-position model. The record is from RNAcentral.
UAGGGAAUCUUCCACAAUGGACGCAAGUCUGAUGGAGCAACGCCGCGUGAGUGAAGAAGGUUUUCGGACCGUAAAGCUCUGUUGUUGGUGAAGAAGGAUAGAGGUAGUAACUGGCCUUUAUUUGACGGUAAUCAACCAGAAAGUCACGGCUAACUACGUGCCAGCAGCCGCGGUAAUCGUAGGUGGCAAGCGUUGUCCGGAUUUAUUGGGCGUAAAGCGAGCGCAGGCGGAAGAAUAAGUCUGAUGUGAAAGCCCUCGGCUUAACCGAGGAAUUGCAUCGGAAACUGUUUUUCUUGAGUGCAGAAGAGGAGAGUAGAACUCCAUGUGUAGCGGUGGAAUGCGUAGAUAUAUGGAAGAAUACCAGUGGCGAAGGCGGCUCUCUGGUCUGCAACUGACGCUGAGGCUCGAAAGCAUGGGUAGCGAACAGGAUUAGAUACCCUGGUAGUCCAUGCCGUAAACGAUGAGU